This 334-nucleotide ribosomal RNA is filed under the name Foraminifera environmental sample. Its description in RNAcentral is "SSU rRNA". It matches the Rfam family "Eukaryotic small subunit ribosomal RNA", at positions 1160 to 1441 of the family's 1831-position model. The record is from RNAcentral. Lineage: Eukaryota; Foraminifera.
AAGGGCACCACAAGAACGCGUGGAGCAUGUGGCUUAAUUUGACCCAACGCGGGAAAUCUUACCGGGUCCGGACACACUGAGGAUUGACAGAUAACAUCAUAUAUUCACUAUACUCGUAUAGUUGAAUAUAUGUAUAAAUAUGCUAGUUCUUUCAUGAUUAUGUGAUAGGUGGUGCAUGGCCGUUCUUAGUUCGUGGAGUGAUCUGUCUGCUUAAUUGCGUUUCACUAUACGGGUCUAUUUAUACAAUCAUACAAUUACAUAUUGACCGCAUGCUCUGCGUGCCGCGUCUUUUGUAUUGUUGAUUAUUAGACCCUGAGAGCAACGAACGUGGCCG